This 446-nucleotide ribosomal RNA is filed under the name uncultured bacterium. RNAcentral describes it as "partial 16S ribosomal RNA". It matches the Rfam family "Bacterial small subunit ribosomal RNA", at positions 338 to 795 of the family's 1533-position model. The record is from RNAcentral.
CCUACGGGAGGCAGCAGUCGAGAAUCUUUCACAAUGGGGGAAACCCUGAUGGUGCGACGCCGCGUGGGGGAAUGAAGGUCUUCGGAUUGUAAACCCCUGUCAUGUGGGAGCAAAUUAAAAAGAUAGUACCACAAGAGGAAGAGACGCUUAAUUCUGUGCCACCAUCCGCGGUAAUACAGAGGUCUCAAGCUUUGUUCGGAUUCACUGGGGGUAAAGCGUGCGUAGGGUGUUUUGGAAGUCGUGGGUGAAAGGCGCGGGCUCAACCCGCGGAGGGCACAGGAUACUGGGAGACUAGAGUAAUGGAGGGGGAACCGGAAGUCGUGGUGUAGCAGUGAAAUGCGUAGAUAUCGAGAGGAACACUCGUGGCGAAGGCGGGUUCCUGGGCAUUAACUGACGCUGAGGCACGAAGGCCAGGGGAGCGAAAGGGAUUAGAUACCCCUGUAGUC